AACGAACGCUGGCGGCAUGCCUAACACAUGCAAGUCGAACGAGACCUUCGGGUCUAGUGGCGCACGGGUGCGUAACGCGUGGGAACCUGCCCUUAGGUUCGGAAUAACUCUCCGAAAGGGGUGCUAAUACCGGAUAAUGUCUUCGGUCCAAAGAUUUAUCGCCUUUGGAUGGGCCCGCGUUGGAUUAGCUAGUUGGUAGGGUAAAAGCCUACCAAGGCGACGAUCCAUAGCUGGUUUGAGAGGAUGAUCAGCCACACUGGGACUGAGACACGGCCCAGACUCCUACGGGAGGCAGCAGUGGGGAAUAGUGGAAAAUGGGCGAAAGCCUGAUCCAGCAAGGCCGCGUGAGUGAUGAAGGCCUUAGAGUUGUAAAGCUCUUUUACCCGGGAUGAUAAUGACAGUACCGGGAGAAUAAGCUCCGGCUAACUCCGUG
Molecule: ribosomal RNA, 433 nt
Filed under: uncultured bacterium
Lineage: Bacteria
Description: partial 16S ribosomal RNA
Rfam family: Bacterial small subunit ribosomal RNA
Source: RNAcentral